CGACCUGAAGCUACUGCCAUGUGGUGGUCUUCUACGAACCUCUUCUUUUAAUUCAUCAGUCCGAUUAUCUGACUUCCUCAAGUUACAAUGCAAGUCUCUUCGUAAAUUUUACUACUUCGAACCAGAGGCCGAAACCAGUAUACAAGCUCUUCUUCGAAGAGUACCUUCCUUUCGUGGCUAACUAGGUAAGUGCUCCCUCUCGUAGUUUGGUAGUCGGAGUGUUCCUCAUGGGGAACCACCCUACCCCUGACCAUCGUAUAUCUCCAAAAUCUCCCCUCAAGUUUGUAACCGUCUAUUCGGGACCAAGUACACUAUACAGUGCUCACUACCUUUUGGUUAAAAGUCAUUGACUCUGGAAAAUGGGACGAUUUUGUACAAUAUAGGAGUUUCUAAAUCGAAAAAGAGUCAAAGUAAUAAAAAGGAACGAAGAUUAUGUAUAACAAUACCUAGGGUUAUAACUUGUUAUAAUUGUUAUAAAAUACUACUUAGAUAACUCCACAUGUACAACUAUAUACAUAAGAUAUAUUAACAAUGUAUAACUUUUACCGUAGUACUAAAACCUAACAACUCCAAACUACUUUUGAGUGAACAAGGUAUGAUUUUUGUUUACGGGAACUUCUAAUAAGACGGAGUACACAAUUCAAUAAAAAAGUACUGGUACUCACAAUUCAUUCGAAACACUACAUAGAAAUAGAUGUGAGAAUUCAAUAGAUGUUCACAGUUUGGUUCGUCACGUACUAAAACGAUUUUCAUAUUAAAGAAUGGAUUUUGUGUGGAGAGUAAAAAAAUUAGUAAGACAAGAAUUAAGUGGCGUCUAGAAAUAUUCAUCUCUUCCUACUUUGUUUUUCAUGAGGAGUCAAAAUCGAGGACCAGUCGUACUACCAAAUUUCAUACAAAAAAAACGGGACAGUCUGUUGUCUAAGAAUUAAAGGACUUUAAAAGAGAUACCUACAAGUUACCUACGUUUAGACCUUACAAGAGAAGCCAGAAACAUACAGUCUUAUAUAUAUCGUCAGUACUGUGUCAUGUUGUUGUUGUUGUCAAGGAAAGUCAGGGUUUGUUCAACCCCAUCCGAUCUCAACUUUGGGUAUUAUAGAGCAGUACCAAGACCGUGUACCUAUCGAUUGAAGGUACGCGGGGACAGGUGCGGUUUCGUUCUUUUUUCAUGAUGUCCUCUAAACUACAUGUCCACUAGUGACUUCGUUUCUUUUCAUGUCCUCAAGACCACGGUCUAACAAGUGUGUUGUAUAGGAACGGUGAAGAUGUCCACACCUCUCAAACCCAAGCCUUCAAUCACCCACCCUCGCCUCCUUCCUUUCCCCUCUUUCUACACGAAAGGAGCAACGUUACGUGCCCGUUAAUUGAUAUAACGAUUAUUCCGAGGUGAUGAUAACGUCCACUUCGCUGUUGGUUCAAAGGUUCAAAUACAGUCUGAUGUUCUCUUCCCCCAAAUCAUAAAAGAACUACCGUGUACAACCUUCCAGACGUCCUCCACGGAAACUCCUGAACGAGCAGGCAAGCCAUGGUAGCAGAAAGGUUCUCGGGUGUAAAGACGUACAUAUAUAAACAACAUGUCGGAUACGACCAAACGGACGUUAUUAUUAAUAGUUUUCCCUUAUACGUCGUCGGCUUAAGAGAGCUGCAAGUAAAACAGUACACGAAUUCGUUUGGCACGCACGGUAUAAGGAGUUCUCCACUUCUCCUGUCCUUCUGUGUACACGAUUUCGUUUUUUUAUUUAUCUUUUCGUCAUAUAAUCCUUAGAUGGGGAAUCGAAUUAAAUGUUCAACACACUCACGAGUAUAUAACCAUAAUAAGAG
This 1818-nucleotide ribosomal RNA is filed under the name Triticum aestivum (bread wheat). RNAcentral describes it as "partial small subunit ribosomal RNA". Lineage: Eukaryota; Viridiplantae; Streptophyta; Magnoliopsida; Poales; Poaceae. The record is from RNAcentral.